UAGUCCACGCUGUAAACGAUGUCGACUAGCCGUUGGGCUCAUUUAAGGGUUUAGUGGCGCAGCAAACGCGAUAAGUCGACCGCCUGGGGAGUACGGCCGCAAGGUUAAAACUCAAAGGAAUUGACGGGGCCCGCACAAGCGGUGGAGCAUGUGGUUUAAUUCGAUGCAACGCGAAGAACCUUACCAGCCCUUGACAUCCUCGGAAUCCAGCGGAGACGUUGGAGUGCCUUCGGGAGCCGAGUGACAGGUGCUGCAUGGCUGUCGUCAGCUCGUGUCGUGAGAUGUUGGGUUAAGUCCCGUAACGAGCGCAACCCUUGUCCUUAGUUGCCAGCACCUCGGGUGGGAACUCUAAGGAGACUGCCGGUGAUAAACCGGGAGGAAGGUGGGGAUGACGUCAAGUCAUCAUGGGCCCUUAUGGGGCUGGGGCUACACACGUGCUACAAUGGGUCGGUACAGAGGGGCAGGCGAAGCGGGCGACGCGGGAGCC
Molecule: ribosomal RNA, 487 nt
Filed under: uncultured bacterium
Lineage: Bacteria
Description: bacterial SSU rRNA
Rfam family: Bacterial small subunit ribosomal RNA
Source: RNAcentral